Long non-coding RNA from Pseudopipra pipra, 6798 nucleotides. RefSeq lists it as uncharacterized. The transcript has 2 exons. NCBI's taxonomy places the organism in Eukaryota, Metazoa, Chordata, Aves, Passeriformes, Pipridae. The record is from RefSeq and is a predicted model, not a curated record.
AAGGAAUGCUGGGUGAGAAUCAUGACCAAAUUCUCUGCUUAUUGAGAUGUAUGCUGCUCCACAAAACAUCAAACUCCUUUGUGAAGAGGACUGCAAAUUUUGUGGAGAGAUAACAGCAGUACUUUCUCCAUCUAUCACACAACCUUCUUCCAAAGAAGUCUUCAGUCUCAGCUAGGCAUGAGGGACUCUUGUCCCACACAGGUGAUGGACUGUCCAGAGGUCUUGCUGGUUAAAACCACAUUUUGAUACGUUACAUACUCAGCUUUUAGCCUAAUGAAAGGAGACUUGUCUUCAUUACAUGAUCAAGACAGAAUUAAUAUGAACUUGCUGCAACAGGAACAGCUUUUGGAGUUACUCUUUCAACUUCCUCCAGAAUGUUUCUGGAGAGUUUGCAAACAUCUAGAAAAGGUAAUGUUUCUGGCACACUCUGGAUUUUAAUGGGAGUGGGCCAAAACUAAGUUUUCAACUCAAAAAUAACGGCUUGGAUCACAGCUCUCAAAAGACCAGUUAUAUCCUUAUUACCUCAGUUCAAAUAAUUUGAACCAACAUUUAAUCAUGUAUCCAGAAGGAAGCUCUUUCAAAUUUCCUAAUCAUCUACAGUAAUGAAAAACAAUCACACCAGCAAUGUUUUGGGCAUACCCAGGUUUCACAUUGUCAUCAAGACACUAGGAAAGAGUCCUUUGUUCCUUCCAACCUGUGAGAUGUAAGAGAAAGGGACAGUAGUUGCAUUUUGCAUUUUCCAAAAUUGCCUUAGUGGCUUUUGGACCUUAAUGCUAUUUUUAGAUGUGACUUGGCUGUACAGUACCCAGAAGUCUUCAAGUGCAGAGCAGUUAUUAAAUCAAUUCAAGGCAGGAAAAGUAAUCUCUCUGAAAAGCAUGACUUCAGGAGCAUACAUCUUACUCUGACUUUGAUUUGAAAGUGCCUAAGUUGCUGUAAGACUUAGCACUCAGGAAAAUUUAUCCUUAAACAAAAGUUCAAAUGUGACAAGACAUUGAAGCAACUCCUCUGUAGAGUAGAAUUAAGGAGACAUAAUGGUGGGAAGAAGGAAGAAUAAGCACCAGUUUGUCAAGCGUAAUAAAAAGCCAAAGCAAACCAGUAUUUGAGGCCAAGACAUCUCUUACCUACAAUUAGUAAAAUCCUUAGAGAAGCAGUAAAACUACCACAUUUUCCAAAAAAAUAACACAUUCAAACCCAAAGAUCUGUUGAAAGAAACCUAUUAUUUAGCCCAACGUUUGAAGCAGACUAUAAGCUCUGCAUUUUAAAAUUCUAAUUUCAUGUCUGUCACUUCCAGGUCGACCCCUCUGACCAUUACAGCAGGGCAUGUCCAACAGCACAUAUUAAAAUCACGGUGCAGUCUGAUACCCAAUUACUCUUUAGGUAUUUGGAAAAAAAACCACCUUCCUGUUUUCAACUGUGUUGUAGCAAAGCCAUAACCUGAACCAUACCAGGGUUUUUUGCUGCUUUCGGCCUCCACAUUGCACAUGUAGCAAAGGACACACAAUAAAUUCUCACAGCCCUUGAUGUCCCAGCUGGGCAUCUCCAUCCUCCCACCCCAUGUAAAGCAGCACACAGAUUCAUGGGGUCUGUAAAUUCAAGCUGUCACUUUGUCUCAUUAUCAGGCCCCACCUAACUGCUCUCACAUCUUCCCUCUCCAUCCACUGUGCAGCUUAGGACCAGGGCAGCUCAGCCAAGGGGAACCAGCUUGGGAGAUUAGGUAAGGCUGACCUGACCUAUUGCUAUAGAUUUCCAGGUGUUGAAGACACUUUAGCUUGUGGGUGUGGAAAAGGUCCAAAUAUUCAGAAAAAAUAUUACUGUACAAUAGGUAGUAUUUCAAAGGAAGACCAGGGAAAUGCUGUAAGGAUAGCUCAGAUCUGUCCCAUGCAGCAUCUGAAAACAUGACUGAGAAGGACAUAAUUCUAAGCUUCCAUGUCUAGACCUGAACCUCAGCCAGUACACUGGCAGUAACCACAAAAGCUUCCUCUUCAGCAGACAUGAAGUAGUUUCCAGCUAAAAACGUUAACAAAUGUGUAACAUGGUAUUCUACUUAUGUGAAUUUUAACCACACCAUCCUGAAGAAGGCUUACAUCUGUGGCUUUCUGAGGAGUACUUAUCACUGCUGAGAAAAACUGCAAAUGGAUAGAUAACAGUCCAAGACCAUCAGCUGCAACACAGGAUGACUGCAACUCACUCAGAUCAGCGUUACUGAAAGCAAAAUGCUACAGUCUCUUAGUGUUUUCAUAAUGCAAACAGGUUUUAUUUAGCAGAUAAAGGUCACAAAAAUUGUGGGUUUUCUGUGUUCUUACUGUGCAUGGAACCACACUUUACCAUAGCUAAAAUAAUUUUACUUUUAUGCUUGAUGGCAUUGAAGAAAGUUAUGUGCUGACAAGGACUUUCUUAAGCAACAAGAAAUCAAUGUAAUCUAUGUCAGAGCUAAGGAUGCUGACCACACUUUUUCCUGUUAAUUAGACAAGCUGCAAAUAAACAAUUUCAUAGGUAGAGCUCAAAAGAUAGGUCUGUCCUAUAGCUUUUAUAAAGAAAAGCCUCAACACAAUUCAAUUGUGAUGCCAAAACUAUUUGCAUUGCAUUUAGUAUGUACAUGAAAGACAAAAAAAAACCCAAACCAAACCAACCAAGCACCAUACUGUGUCAUUUGCUGUAAAUGCUCUGUGGAUGCAGGUAUCCAUACAGGAUAUGUCUGUUUGCAUGGAUUCUCUGUUUUGUCUUUGGAGCUAGAACCCCAUUAAGUGCUAACUAACCAUGACACUAGCAGCUCUCCAGAUGUGGCACAAUGCAGACUGGAAGAAUUAUUUCCCCUGUAUGAUGUGAGCAGGAUGAUGCAGGUAACUUCACUCUAUGUUUCUUGGUGUGUUUUUGUGGUAUUAUCUGACAAUAAUUUUACGUUAAGCAUUUUUACUUCUAAACCUGCAUAAAGCAAAAAAAAAAUUCACAGGAAUUAUGCCUUCUGCUUCAUGUUUUAAAAUAAAUCUUCACCCUCUACUAGUUUUCCCAGCAGAGCUAGUCAGUGUAAAAAAGCCUGAUAUUUUAGGCCGUAAUUGGGGUCUCAUGCAUAUCAAGUUGACUCUGGAGUAAUUCAACUAAAAUCAAAAGAACCAUAUUUGUGCUACUGCUGAAUUUGAAUUAACAGUAAGGAAGACUGCUGAAAACUGCCUGUUGGAAUCUUCCUGCCACAACUGCUAAUUGGAAAGAAAAAGAAACCUAAACAACCAGCUUUAGUUUUCAGAUUAUGAAGGGGUGAAUCAGAAGCAACCCUCCUUCUCUUCCUAAGUCUUUAGUUGAGAGCUACAUACAGCUAAUAUGAAAUCAAAGCCCACAAAAUAUGAAAUCUAAAUGCUCAUUUAUUUUUAGAACAGAGACAAAAGCUUUUAAAAGCAUUAUUGUAAACCAAGAGGCAUCUUCACCCAGAAGCAAGACAAAAGAGCUACCUCUUUGAAGGUAAAAUGCAAAAAAAAAACCCAAAACAUUUUAGAGUAAUAUAUUUGGCUUAGGGCAGCACUGUCUUCAUCAUUAAAUGUCUGUUCAGGUAUUCCCAACACAACCUCCUGGAAUAUGGUGGGAACAAGUAUGUAAAGAUGACACUUGCAAAGAUUUUACAUUUUUCACUGAGAUCGUUAUAUGUACCAUUGAAAACACCAGAGCCACGAGCCUCCUUUCAUUCCUUUCAUUACAGUUGCAGGAUGAAACAAGAGAAUGAAGAGUUAACUCCCCAGGAGAACAAGAAUUUCCCAAAGACAGAGCCAGGAACAUUGCUGUUGCCUGGCAGGAUCCUGAGCAUCACCAAAGGGCAAAGAAAAGGCCUGAUGCAGAGUUAGGACAGGCAGCCCUGGAAGGACAGUGGUGCCUGAAGGUGGCCAGGAGCCAACAGAAAACGUUGACAACAAACAAUCUCAGCCCCGCUGGUGGCAUAUCACCAUGAAAUGGAAUUGUUGCAAGUUAUCUCAAGCAAAAGGCCCCUACAGGGUUGACCAGUUUUUGAUAAAACAAUUGUUUCACUUCUCACCUGUGCAAGCUAGCCUGACCCUACUGCAGCCCACAGAAUCAUAGCAAUUAAAUAGAAGAAUUAUCAGUAAAAUAGAUCAAUUAUAGAUACUUUGUGGAUAAGAUUAAAUUAAUUUUAACUUUUUGGGGAACACAAGUCUAUGUUAGUCCAUCAUCAAGGCCAAAGAAAAAAACUAACUUAAAAUUACUUUAAAGACAUCAAUAAUUAAUUGACUUCAAGGUCAAAAUUAGACAAUUUGCUUGUAGAUCUAGUGAGUUUGGGGAGGAAAUAUCUUAUUUGCUGCUUUUUGUGUGAAUUGGGAGUGCAGUUUCUGCAACACAGAGAGUACCUGAAAAUACAUGUCUACCUACAUGAGCUGUGUGAGCACAGAGGUCAUCUGAAGUAAAAGCUAGCAAACCAUUCAUCACUUGUGUCGGAAAACACAGAUUAGAAAUACCCAGGCAUCUAUAUCAAUGUGCAAAAUUUGCCAGCAUUGCCAAAUAAUGGGACCUCAUUUCCUAAGCCCUGCUCCACUUUUUUGAGAUCUAGUCUCAGGCCAGUAAGCAGCCACCCAAGGAGAGGAAAUCUGAUCAGCACAAAUCUGAGCGAGUCACCUACCAGUGUGGUCACCAAGAUCCAAAUGAUUCUGUCAACCUUCGAGCCCCCUUCACCUGUGCACUGAGAGUAAAAACACUUCUUUGCCUUGUAAGUGGCUUAGAGGAAUGCACAUGGAAAGACUUAAAUGUUGUUAUAACAGCCUAACUGGUCUCCUUGCUUUCCUGUUUUAAGAAAGCUUCCUGAAUAGCUGCUGAAUGGGAUCACUCACAAUGUUUCUUUCAGGUAAGAUGGAUGCACUGGUGGAGAAAAGCAUGUAGAGAAACAAGCCUGCAACUGCAAUAGGAUUUUAUACCUUUUAUCUUUAUACCUUUUCUUUUAUUGUUAUAUCUUUAGCAGCAUAUUCCCUUUUCUAGAAGGAAAAAAAGACAACCCUCAUCACCUUUACAUUACACAGAACUAUAACCGAGUACAAAACAGUACUACUAAGCCUUGCCAGAAAGUCUGUGCCUAUAUUUAAAUUGCCUUAUUUAACAACAUGCAGCUUACUGCAAUGAGAUAUAAUCUUUCCAUGUGCUUUUCUGGCCCACUAAGAUUAGCAAGUAGCAUGAUCUGAUGCACGGCUGUUACACCCUCUGUCCCACCUGGGCUCUGUUAUUCAGUGUAAUACAGCAGUACUGUGAAUCUUUAACGUGACUGCUGAUAACACCAAUAUACAUCUCUUGCUCAAACCCAACACACACCUACACCUCUCUGGAGGGAAGUAGCAACCCAUUUAUAUACAUGAACCCUGUAGUGUUAAACUAGUUUUUUGUCUCCUUGCCCAGGUGUGCAAUGGAGUGACAGCCUCAAUCGUGUUUGAUGUUGAUGUAAAGCAGUGAGCUGUACAACCCCAGACCAAGGGACAGGAGUGGGCCCCAAGGGCAGCGAGGGGUGGAUUUGCUUGACCCUCUCACCAGAAGAUGGCUGGGCCCUACAUGGAUGCAGGGGACAUGAGGGCACCAAUAGGCUCUCAUUGCCCUGACCAGACUUAACAGGGGCCUCCACAUUGCCCCUGUAUUAACUAACAUAAAAGUGUAUUGUUUAUGGAUACACUGUACAGACACUGUGCCUGAUAGCAACUUGACUUCCCAGCUUCACCCUGCCUUGGCUCCACCACCUUGCCAAGCCCUGGCUGGCACUUUGGCCGACCCUGGUUGAUGCCAGUGCACUGCUUCUGCCCCUUGCUGAGGCAUAUUGGAGAGGUCAGGGUCCUGUCAGCCUCGCUGCCUCCCUGCUCUCCCUUCCUGAUGGGGUAGCCUUGACAGCAGAGGCUAGGCUUCAGUCCAAACCACCGUGGGAUUUCUCCUAGUGCUAAUUUCACAUCUCAUGGGAGAGAAAUAUAAUGAGAACUGGCUACGAAGCAGUCAUUUCCAUUUGUAAAUGGGAUAGCACAAAGGAAGAAACGAGAACAAAUUUCCAUAUGUACAGUCUCUGCUAAACAAUCAUCUCUGCAAAUCUCUCCACAGUGUGUGUGGUGCAUGCUGCCUUCUUUACGGUAUCAGCCACACAAUCAGAAUAAUUAAUUAAUCUAGGCACCAUCACAUCAGCUCAGAAGAUCCGAUACAACAGAGCUGGAUCCGACCUGAUUUCAAAGAUCACAGUUCAUGUGCAAUGGUGUAGCCACAGAGGUUAGUCAUAUUAAAUAUAAUUAAUAACUAAUAACUAAUAAUAACUAAUUAAUGCCGCAUCUCAAGUGGGCCCAGACCGUGAUCGAACAUCUUUACUUACAAUCACUACAUGUCAAAACAACACUUUCUCAAGUCCUCAUUUUUAAACUAAAACACCAAGGUGAAGAAGUUACCUGCCUGAUGAAGAGACCAUAGUGGCUACAGAGGCUGGCUGGGCAUGGAUGAAGCCAGCGUUGAAGAACCAUGGAGUGCAGGGUGUCCAUAAUUUACACUGAUUAGCUGGAGAAGAUCCAAAGAUUGACUUUUUGUUGUUGGGGUGGACGGGGAGGGACAGACUAUAUGGCUUGCCCUGCUGAAAUAGGCUAGUUUUGUUCUGAAGGCACUGUCACUCCUGAUCUUGACAAAGAGAUUAAUGACAAUUUCUUUGGCAAUAAUUAGCAUACCUAACAGAGAGGACAGAAGGUUCAUUUUCUUCCCUUCCCCUUUAUUUUUGGUUGGAUCUUCUACUGGUAAUACAUGAAUUAUUACUAAAAAUCAAUGCCUCAUGCUGAAAUAAAUAUUCUGAGUGACAUGGAA